This 433-nucleotide ribosomal RNA is filed under the name uncultured organism. RNAcentral describes it as "bacterial SSU rRNA". It matches the Rfam family "Bacterial small subunit ribosomal RNA", at positions 30 to 507 of the family's 1533-position model. The record is from RNAcentral.
AUUGAACGCUGGCGGCAUGGUUAAAGCAUGCAAGUCGAGCGGGUCCGCAAGGACCAGCGGCGGAAGGGUGAGUAAUCCAAUCGUACGUGCCCCGAGGUACGGGAUAGCGGUGGGAAACUGCCGGUAAUACCGUAUGUUCUCUCCGGAGCAAAGCUUUGGCGCCUUGGGAGCGGCGAUUGACCUAUCAGGUAGUUGGCGGGGUAAUGGCCCACCAAGCCGAAGACGGGUAGCGGGUGUGAGAGCACGACCCGCCACAUCGGGACUGAGACACUGCCCGGACUCCUACGGGAGGCUGCAGCGACGAAUCUUCCGCAAUGGGCGCAAGCCUGACGGAGCAAUGCCGCGUGUGGGAUGAAGUGCCUUCGGUAUGUAAACCACUGUCAGGGGAUAGAAACAAUGAUCAUCCCCAAAGGAAGUGGCGACUAACUCUGUG